GAGUUUGAUCAUGGCUCAGGACGAACGCUGGCGGCGCGCUUAAUACAUGCAAGUCGAGCGAGAACCAGGGCUUCGGCCCUGGGGACAGCGGCGAACGGGUGAGUAACACGUGGGUAAUCAACCCCCGACACCGGGAUAGCCCAGGGAAACUUGGAUUAAUACCGGAUGCUCCGUCUGGCCUUCGGGCCGGCCGGAAAAGGGUAGCUUCGGCCUCCGGUCGGGGACGAGCCCGCGGCGGAUUAGCUUGUUGGUGGGGUAAAGGCCCACCAAGGCGACGAUCCGUAGCUGGUCUGAGAGGACGAUCAGCCACACUGGGACUGAGACACGGCCCAGACUCCUACGGGAGGCAGCAGUAGGGAAUCUUGCGCAAUGGGCGAAAGCCUGACGCAGCGACGCCGCGUGAGGGAAGAAGGCCUUCGGGUUGUAAACCUCUUUCAGGAGGGACGAAGCCACUCGGGUUAAUAGCCCAGAGGGUGACGGUACCUCCAGAAGAAGCCCCGGCUAACUACGUGCCAGCAGCCGCGGUACGC
Molecule: ribosomal RNA, 530 nt
Filed under: uncultured bacterium
Lineage: Bacteria
Description: bacterial SSU rRNA
Rfam family: Bacterial small subunit ribosomal RNA
Source: RNAcentral